CUAGGGUUUCAUUCUCUCCUUUACACAUUUCACCUAUCUCUCAUUUUUCUCUGGAUUCUUCAUCUUCUUCGUUCUGCUGAAGAUCUAUUGAAGAUCUUGUUGAUUUGUUGGUUCAAUUCGAUAUUGUUGUAGAUCCUGUGGAUCACUGUAUCUUUGGUUGUAUUAUUCUAAUUAAUCACUGAUAAUCAUCAGUUAAUUAUAUCUCUUUGUAUUGUUUGUUUUAGAUCUUACAAUUUGUAAGAUCUUGGGAGGUUGGGAGCUUUUAGGGUUGGUUAACUAAUAAAAGUUUUUCGUCACGUUUUGUCACUAUAUCUAGUGUUGUUGUUUAUCUUCUGUAUUUCUGUGUUGUUCUAUACCAAUUUUACAUGGUAUCAGAGCGAAAUCGCUCCUGACCUGUGUUGUUUUCGCUGUGAUUUUGACUGAUUGUUGAUUUUUGUGAUUUAGGUUCGCUCCUGGUGUUCUAGGAUUUGCGGAUCUAACUGUUGUGGUUUUAGAUCGUCUCGAUCUAGUCUUUGAAGGCAUGCGUUAGUCUUUGUAGCCCUACAAGGCUACAAGGCAAACUAACUGGGUGUUUGUGAUAUUUGCUGCUUUUGAUCUGAUUUUAUAACCCUAGAAAGUUAUUGAUCGGAUUUGAUUAAGGAGGGAGUUAAACGCUGUUUAGUGAGCUCCUGCUAGGGACGUACAUUCAAGGCUUAUCUCGAAAUAGCUUUUUGUCCAUGAACAUGCUUCAACCUUAUUGUAUCUGUAAGUAGUAGUCGCACAUAAAACGAGUGUUUAAGAUUUGCGACUUAAUAAUCAUUUUGCUUGAAGACAGUGAUAAAGAUGUGUGGCCAAAUGCAUGUAACACCUGGUCGAAAACGAGUACCCAAGCCUUGAGACUUGUUGGUUGUUUCGCCUAGGUAGUGACUAUAUAACACUUACUAUUGAUAGCUAUCCAAGCCCUAAGACUUGUAAGCGUAAAACAUAUCUAAAGAUAAGCGCCAAUAUCCCGAUACUUGGGCGCCAUUCAACUUGGAGGUUGUCACUAGGGAAUGAGCCUAAAUGUAAAUAACAUAAGUUCAGAGACAAGUUCCUAAGAUCUAAGGCUUUUGUAUAACACAUGUUCAAAGAUAGCUUGUCAAGAGACUUGAAUGUCAUUCCACCCGAAGGUAGCGACUUGGACCUGAGUCCAAAUGUAUAUAACACAUGUCUAUAUACUCGUGUCCAAGAAGUGAUACAAAUUUGUGGUGAAAUGCAUGUAAAACCUGGUCGAUAUGUGAAAGUUCGGUGUCUGUCCGUGUGUCACAUGUCUUAUGAUUCGGCAUAUGAUCAAGUCCAGUACAAAGUUGAAGUA
Molecule: long non-coding RNA, 1333 nt
Organism: Helianthus annuus (common sunflower)
Lineage: Eukaryota; Viridiplantae; Streptophyta; Magnoliopsida; Asterales; Asteraceae
Exons: 2
Source: RefSeq, a predicted model, not a curated record